UACGGAGGAUGCGAGCGUUAUCCGGAUUCAUUGGGUUUAAAGGGUGCGCAGGCGGAGCGCCAAGUCGGCGGUAAAAUCGCGGGGCUCAACCCCGCCCGGCCGUCGAAACUGGCGCCCUUGAGUUGUCGAGAGGUAGGCGGAAUGCGCGGUGUAGCGGUGAAAUGCAUAGAUAUCGCGCAGAACCCCGAUUGCGAAGGCAGCCUACCGGCGGCAAACUGACGCUCAGGCACGAAAGCGCGGGUAUCGAACAGG
This 252-nucleotide ribosomal RNA is filed under the name uncultured bacterium. RNAcentral's name for it is "partial 16S ribosomal RNA". It matches the Rfam family "Bacterial small subunit ribosomal RNA", at positions 524 to 776 of the family's 1533-position model. The record is from RNAcentral.